Sus scrofa (pig) is the source of this 5592-nucleotide non-coding RNA. The record is from RefSeq and is a predicted model, not a curated record. Lineage: Eukaryota; Metazoa; Chordata; Mammalia; Artiodactyla; Suidae.
CCACCCUCAGCUUCCAUGGUCUACAUGGAUGACCUUCUCAGUUGGCCAGUUGUUACCGCUUCCUGUGCCUGAAUGUCAGACCACCAGGAAGCUUCUAAGGCGACCACCUCCGAGCCUGGAGGGACAGAGACAACACCCACGCCCACACAGUAAAAUGUGAGGAAGGGGCGACUUCAUCGUUCCAUCAGUCGUCGACUUCUUCAGCAGAAAAAGGCAAAGCAGAAGAGCCUCCCUCCCCCAAAAAGAACAGGAGCCAUAAACAAAAAGCCUUGCCACGUCUGGCUUUGAUGAAAUUAUCGGCAUCGUAAUACAGUUAACACCCACCAUAAUAGCAGCUAUCACCCAAGGGCCCAUGACAUCCCCGAAGUCGUGUCCGAUUCUGUCUGUCUAAGUAUCACCUCAUUUAAAUGUCAGGACCUUGGGUCCUCUCUUUCUGCUGUAGCAGGUGAAGAGCUUGACGCUCAGAGGCCACUGCUAGCAAGUGCGAAGCUGCAAUUUGAACAGAGGUUUGCCUCCACCUAGGUUGCAUGCUUUUCCCAAAGACCAACUGUGGAAUUUGUGCAUGAAAAUAAGAGAUUCCUGCAUCUUUUAAAAUUCCACCGCUGCCUUCACAUGCUUCACGUUAGAGCAGUUCGAUGAGUUUUCAUACUUACACAUUUAAAACACACACUCUGCACCAAAGUUAUUGUCGUGAAAUUAUCAAGAGCGCAUCCAAGAAUUGGGAGCCAAAUAAGGUAACCACUGGCCUUGUUGUUAUUGUUAUCUUUGUUUUAUGGAGGGGGUGUGUGUGUGUCUUUGUGUGUGUGUUACCCACAAUAUUAAGAGAACGCAAUUCUUGAGAUUGAUGAUUAUUUUCCACUUAUCUCCAGGGUUAAAUAAAGAAGAAAGUCAUCAAAAUACAUCAUUUAUACGGUGAGCUAGCUUAUGCCCUGUCUGAUGAAAGACAAAUUGGGAAACAUUUGCAGUGUUGGAUGCAGGCAUCAAUUUUGGGUGCUAUCUAUUAGAACUGCAUGUAACCUUAUUAUGCUGUUAUCCAAAUAAAAGAUGGAUAUUGAGAGGAAGAACGAGAGGCCAAGCAUUGCUGGUUCUUUACCUAAGUUCAUCCUGGAAGAAGGCCCCGUUCUGGUGCCAUAUCUAAUUACCACCACCUAAUUUAGUUCAUGUUUAUGUAAUUAUUUGUCUUAUUUCUGAAAGAGAUUUACCAGUAAAAUGACUAAUUUUUAAGAAGAAACCCAAUAUAUUUCAGAGACUCUGCCAAUGUGUAAUGUCUUCUAACACUGGCCAAAAAUAGCAAUGGACUAAUUUUGAAAUAACUGUUUUCUCUGCAAAAUCCUCGAUGCUGUUCUCAUUUGCCCUCCGUUCUUGAAACCCCCACCUCCAAACUCCCACCCCGGAAAGAAAGAGAAACAGAUUACAGUAAAUUUGGCAAGGAAUUCUAUGUGCAUCAUUUUCUUAGAAGUCACGUGCUUUGGAUUUCCUCUUGUUUAUGAUAUAUUAAAAUACCUUCCAGAUGUUUUUAAUUAUAAAAAAGUUCUCAAGAAAACAGAGUAAUCCAUAAUAAAAUUUCCUCUUUUUUUUUUAAUGGCCAAUAAAUUGGUAUAUUUCAGCUUAUCAAACUGCCCCAUACUUCUGAGGAUGACCUCUGUGAAGAAGGGCAGGCAUCGAGCAGGACACAGCUCGAUUUGGGCAGAUACAGAAUUUUACCGAGAACACUUUCAGUUCCUGUUUCCAAUUGAGGCUGCUCCCUGCCUGGGGCCUUGCCUAAUGUAAAAGCCCAUUGGCUGGAACUGCUUAAAUGUCCCACACAAAUAUAAACACCUCCGCAGAGUUGGGAGGAUGAAAGGAGCUGCUUAUUGAUAUUGUAUAUGCUCAGGUUUGGAUGUGGGACACAGGAAAGACAGCACCGAGCUGCUGGUACGUGAUGCAAAAGCUGGGCUGCAUGAAGCGGUUUCAUUUACUGAGGUUGGAUGUGUGCCCAGAUUGCCAUAGGAGAAUUCAGGAAAACAGUAAGGAGAACCUCAGAACUGGUUGGGGGGAACAGCCACAGGGGGCAGAAGAAUAAAUACAUCUGAAGACUGUGCUUCCAGGAAUGAAAGGACUAGCCUCCGGGGAACAGUCAGGAGCCCCCCACACCCCCACCGGCCCUCUCCGUUUCUACUUGAGGUUAUCUGUGUGCUCAUCCUAAUUCUGAUUCAGAGUAACUGUAAGACUGUAAUUUGGCUGCAAGAGGAGAGAGAGGGCGAGGCAGGAAGAAGCCUUAGCCUGCCUUGCCUGGCGGUUUGUAAGCUUAGCAAGGAGAGCAGACCUCGGGUCCCGUUAAAGAGAGAAGGACUGCCCGUGACUGCGGCGCAGGAAUUCUCUGGACUCUUCUAGCCAGAAGACGCACCAGCUGAGAAGGCUUCAACUGAAGAUCACCGUUGCUUAGAUGUGGGAGCCUGCUCCGAGCAUCCAGGCUUUCAUCUGCAGGAGAUCAAGUGGAGCCGUCGAAGAAAGAACAACUCCCAGCCCCUCCUUGUGCCAGUUCAAACCGAGACCCACGGGGGGACAGAUGUCCCAGCGCGAUCUGCUCACAAGAUGAGCGGUGGGGCCCACAGCCCCAGCUCGUGGUCCUCGCCCUCUAAGACUUUAUCGUUCCAAGUACCGUCUGCUCAGAAAUAACCCGAAUGCAGCCCCAGCCUCCUCUUUUCUUGCCUCCUCCCAUCCUCUCCACCUCGCUCUCGCCUCCUGGGCACUGGCUGGCUUUCCGCUCAAGGAACAGGGCAGGCGAGCCCUGUUCUCUCUAGGCUCCCUUUGCCCGUGUGUCCUGCCUCACUGCAGCGCCCUGCGGGGCUCACGGUCUUCCUUCCUCAGUGUCCGUAAAAGUGGGACUUGAUCCACGCGGGCUUCCCAGGGCACCUUCUGCAGGACAGCUCUGCCCCCACCCCACCUCCGUCUUUUUGAUCCUGUUUCAUCGUCUGUAGAUUCUUAUCUCCACCAGAUAGACUGGGUAAUUUUAGACUCUUUCCUUGCUUCUGCCCCUUGAAUGUGACCUUUCUGAAAGCAGAGUCUUGAUCCAUUUUGUUUGUACCCAUCUCCCAAGCCUAGACUAGUCGCUGGCUCUUAGUAGGUGUGCAAUGAAUAUUUGUCGACUAUAUGAAUUUGAGGAAAAGCACAAAAUGCCCUUUUGGACUGAAGAUGAAAGACACAGCGGCUCCAGUUGGCAGAAUCACGGCGGCUUUGGGAAGAUGAUGUGAAUUUACCAAGUGCCCUGGUCAGUGGUGGUGAAAGGUUGUAGCAGAUGACUCAUAAUUAAAUAUCUUUCACACACUGGGUUUUUGCACGUGCACGCACACAGAUGCACAAGCCAUUCGGCUAGUUUCUAAACUAGAGGACACCCCGUUAAAUUUGAAGUUUAGAUACACAAUGAAUAUCUUUAUUAUAACUAGGUCUCAUGCCAUAUUUAGGGAAACUUAUAGCAAUUAUUUCUUUAUUGUUUAUCUGAAUUUAAAUUUAACUGGGCACCCUAUAUUUUAUCUAGCAAGCUUAUGUAUAGGGAACAACAUAAUGAGAGGUAUGGGUGAUUUUUCAGAGCUCAGAAUUUACAUAAUUAAUGUAGGAAAGACAAAGCAGGGAAUGGCAAAAGCUAGAAUUCAUUCACAUUCUCCGCCCGCUGCAGCUCUGGGGCAGAUUCAGGGUAUUUAUCUUAUAGCCACACUCCCAGAUGAGGUUUUGUGUUUUUUCCCAUUUUAGAAUCUCCCUUAACUGGACUCUCUUACAGUUUUUGAGAAUUCUAAGAUGUAUUUAUUUUAAUGUUGCUUUUUUGUUCCCCAUACUGUCUCCAGAAUUUCAUAGAGGACCUUGUCCGAAAUGACUCACAGUCUAUGGUGGUGGCUAUUUGGCUUUCUUGAUAUCUUUUUAUCAAAUAUAACUCUCAAUUCCACGCUCUUUAUUUGGGACACAUUUCUUUAGUGCUAAUUCUUAGCAUUAAUGCUGACCAAUGAUGGGAAUCCCUUUUAAUAGAUUGUAAUUUUAAAAUUACAGUUAUGUUGAAAUUGAAAUAACCACAAGAUCGUUGCCAAAACGACUCACGAAAAGCUUAUUUCAGAAAAACAGAAGCAUGACUGAAAAUGAUAUGGACAAAAGAAGAAUAUUUCUGUUUAGCAGCUAAAGAGAUGCUUUUGUAAGUUUAAAACAUAAAACUUUGAGGUUGUAAGAUUCUUGAUGGCUUUUUAAAGUUAUAAAUUAAUUUUUAAAAAAUUAUUUCAAAUUUCGUGCAUAUAGAGAGGAAUUAUGAAUAUUUCAAGUUGCUUGCUUUAAAUAUUCGCAUGAAAUGCAAUGGCCUUGAGUGGGACUCUCUGACCGCCAAGGCUUAGAAGUACUUUGGUAGGUCAUACGACCGACGGAAGUCAGACAAUUACCAGCAAAUGUAUUCGGUGUGCUGUCAAGUUUUAAAACCCAGUAUUCAAAGAAGGGAGAGACCAUCGGGACUGGGACAGUUGGAAAAGCUUCGCCGAGAAAGGGGGGGCUCAAUGUCUGCCGUGGAGGGUGGACUGCGGGCGUUUUCUCCGAGAGAAGGGUGACCGUAAGGCCAGGAAGAAGCAGUCUGCACGCAACUUCGGAGAGGAAAUAAGAAUAAGAGGCUGUACAAGAGCCAGAGAUGAUGGAGGACACAAGGAAAAAGUAGAACUGCUUCUGUUCGGAAUUUCUGGGCCGUAAUCCUAGACGAGAAGCACAGACUCUAGACCUAAGGUCACUGGCUGCAGAGCUGUCAUACAUGCCACCACGGGAGUCACGUUCAUUGCAAAGUCGGCUCCGCAAAGCUGGCUCCGAACUUGGGUGUACCUCUCCCAGCCGAAGAGACCGCAGGAACUGGCAUUUUCCUUCUUCCAGCGCUCCUUUAAGGAAAUCAUCAUCCUUCUCAGAUGUUUGAGCUUGUGGGGUGACUUCGACUCAGAAUGAAGACCCGCAGACUCCUGUCUGUGGCUACAAAUGGAUAUUUAGGUCUCUGAGAAUUUCAAGUGAUUGGCCGCUUUGAGACCAGAAGGUGAGAGACGAGCCUCAUCCUGCGUUUUGGCCACAGGCGGGUCGAAUCGGGCACUAAGAUGCCUUUCCAAGCAUUAGUCUCCUUAAGACCAGGCACACUGUUCAGAGGGCUGCCCCUUCCUGGCCAUUGUCCCCCACGAAAGAGGAAGGUAUUUGGGGAAGAUGUAUUUUGCCAGCUCGUCCAUCGGAGAAUAUUUGUUCACUAAUGUAUUUCGUGAACACUGUACAAGUUACCCGGGACAGUUCCUUCUGAUCAUGUACCGCCCAGAUUUACACUCCGUGACUUCGUAGAAGAUGCAGCUCUCAUCCCCGGUGUGAGCAGUUGUGCGGCGGCGGCGAUUUGCAGAAUGAAGCUCUUCUUUGCAGACACUGUAAUUAGCACUCGUCUUAUUUAUACAUCUCCCUCACCAUGGUGUGUCCCCUUUAAAAAUAUUUUUAUUUAAAAUGGCAUGCAAGGAAAUAGCUCGGCACGCGUAGGGGAGAAAAAAAAAGAAGAAACAACAAACUGCUGAUAAAUCCAUCUGUUGAGAAACCGCAGUACACAAAUUAAAAGAGUAAGUUAACAUCGUA